UGGGUGGAUUAGUGGCGAACGGGUGAGUAACACGUGAGUAACCUGCCCUUGACUCUGGGAUAAGCCCGGGAAACUGGGUCUAAUACUGGAUAUUCAGCUUCCAUCGCAUGGUGGUGGUUGGAAAGGGAUUGACUGGUCAAGGAUGGACUCGCGGCCUAUCAGCUUGUUGGUGGGGUAAUGGCCUACCAAGGCGACGACGGGUAGCCGGCCUGAGAGGGUGACCGGCCACACUGGGACUGAGACACGGCCCAGACCCUACGGGAGCAGCAGUGGGGAAUAUUCACAAUGGGCGGAAGCCUGAUGCAGCGACGCGCGUGAGGGAUGACGGCCUUCGGUUGUAAACCUCUUUCAGUAGGAAGAAGCGAGAGGACGGUACCUGCAGAAGAAGCGCCGGCUAACUACGUGCCAGCAGCCGCGGUAAUACGUAGGGCGCAAGGUAUCCGGAAUUAUGGGCGUAAAGAGCUCGUAGGCGGUUUGUCGCGUCUGCCGUGAAAGUCCGGGGCUCAACCCCGGAUCUGCGGUGGGUACGGGCAGACUAGAGUGCUGUAGGGGAGACUGGAAUUCCUGGUGUAGCGGUGAAAUGCGCAGAUAUCAGGAGGAACACCGAUGGCGAAGGCAGGUCUCUGGGCAGUAACUGACGCUGAGGAGCGAAAGCAUGGGGAGCGAACAGGAUUAGAUACCCUGGUAGUCCAUGCCGUAAACGUUGGGCACUAGAUGUGGGGGACAUUCCACGUUCUCCGCGUCGUAGCUAACGCAUUAAGUGCCCCGCCUGGGGAGUACGGCCGCAAGGCUAAAACUCAAAGGAAUUGACGGGGGCCCGCACAAGCGGCGGAGCAUGCGGAUUAAUUCGAUGCAACGCGAAGAACCUUACCAAGGCUUGACAUGGACCGGACCGCCCUGGAAACAGGGCUUCCCUUCGGGGCUGGUUCACAGGUGGUGCAUGGUUGUCGUCAGCUCGUGUCGUGAGAUGUUGGGUUAAGUCCCGCAACGAGCGCAACCCUCGUUCCAUGUUGCCAGCACGUAGUGGUGGGGACUCAUGGGAGACUGCCGGGGUCAACUCGGAGGAAGGUGGGGACGACGUCAAAUCAUCAUGCCCCUUAUGUCUUGGGCUUCACGCAUGCUACAAUGGCCGGUACAAUGGGUUGCGAUACUGUGAGGUGGAGCUAAUCCCAAAAAGCCGGUCUCAGUUCGGAUUGGGGUCUGCAACUCGACCCCAUGAAGUCGGAGUCGCUAGUAAUCGCAGAUCAGCAACGCUGCGGUGAAUACGUUCCCGGGCCUUGUACACACCGCCCGUCAAGUCACGAA
Molecule: ribosomal RNA, 1305 nt
Filed under: Zhihengliuella alba
Lineage: Bacteria; Bacillati; Actinomycetota; Actinomycetes; Micrococcales; Micrococcaceae
Description: bacterial SSU rRNA
Rfam family: Bacterial small subunit ribosomal RNA
Source: RNAcentral